This 290-nucleotide long non-coding RNA is filed under the name Hordeum vulgare. RNAcentral's name for it is "long non-coding RNA (HVUL_LNC011754)". Lineage: Eukaryota; Viridiplantae; Streptophyta; Magnoliopsida; Poales; Poaceae. The record is from RNAcentral.
GUUGUUUGUAUUCCAAAUGUUUUGAACCAUGAACAAUCAACGAUAAUCAACGCCCAGGGACCUCAAAGCUCAGCUCUGUCGAUGCUUUGUUGUAGGUUGCCCUGUUUUACUGGUUCUCAGUUGGUACCCUGUUGACGUACUUUCGAAAGAAGAAAAAAGAAUCAGAUGCUUAACUGCCUAGAAUCCGCUUCGAUUAUUGCUCCUCCAAUAAAGCACAAACGGAGCUCCUCCAAUAAACCACAAACGGAGCCGUGGAGUGCUGCACCGAACACAGAGCACCCCAACCGCAC